Molecule: non-coding RNA, 30 nt
Filed under: Homo sapiens (human)
Lineage: Eukaryota; Metazoa; Chordata; Mammalia; Primates; Hominidae
Source: RNAcentral
UUGCCUUCACUCUAGAAAAGUCCCCUGUUU